AGAGCGAACGCUGGCGGCAGGCUUAACACAUGCAAGUCGAGCGGGCGUAGCAAUACGUCAGCGGCAGACGGGUGAGUAACGCGUGGGAACAUACCUUUUGGUUCGGAACAACACAGGGAAACUUAUGCUAAUACCGGAUAAGCCCUUACGGGGAAAGAUUUAUCGCCGAAAGAUUGGCCCGCGUCUGAUUAGCUAGUUGGUGAGGUAAUGGCUCACCAAGGCGACGAUCAGUAGCUGGUCUGAGAGGAUGAUCAGCCACAUUGGGACUGAGACACGGCCCAAACUCCUACGGGAGGCAGCAGUGGGGAAUAUUGGACAAUGGGCGCAAGCCUGAUCCAGCCAUGCCGCGUGAGUGAUGAAGGCCCUAGGGUGUAAAGCUCUUUUGUGCGGGAAGAUAAUGACGGUACCGCAAGAAUAAGCCCGGCUAACUUCGUGCCAGCAGCCGC
Molecule: ribosomal RNA, 446 nt
Filed under: uncultured bacterium
Lineage: Bacteria
Description: SSU rRNA
Rfam family: Bacterial small subunit ribosomal RNA
Source: RNAcentral